CAGAGUUUGACCUGGCUCAGGAUGAACGCUAGCUACAGGCUUAACACAUGCAAGUCGAGGGGCAGCAUGUUGGUUGCUUGCAACCAAUGAUGGCGACCGGCGCACGGGUGAGUAACGCGUAUCCAACCUACCCUUGUCCAUCGGAUAACCCGUCGAAAGGCGGCCUAACACGAUAUGCGGUUCACAGCAGGCAUCUAAGGUGAACGAAAUGUGAAGGAGAAGGAUGGGGAUGCGUCUGAUUAGCUUGUUGGCGGGGUAACGCCACAAGGCUACGAUCAGUAGGGGUUCUGAGAGGAAGGUCCCCCANAUUGGAACUGAGACACGGUCCAAACUCUACGGGAGCA
RNAcentral lists this ribosomal RNA (344 nucleotides) under uncultured bacterium. RNAcentral's name for it is "bacterial SSU rRNA". It matches the Rfam family "Bacterial small subunit ribosomal RNA", at positions 8 to 349 of the family's 1533-position model. The record is from RNAcentral.